GAGCUUGCUCCUGGAUUCAGCGGCGGACGGGUGAGUAAUGCCUAGGAAUCUGCCUGGUAGUGGGGGACAACGUUUCGAAAGGAACGCUAAUACCGCAUACGUCCUACGGGAGAAAGCAGGGGACCUUCGGGCCUUGCGCUAUCAGAUGAGCCUAGGUCGGAUUAGCUAGUUGGUGAGGUAAUGGCUCACCAAGGCGACGAUCCGUAACUGGUCUGAGAGGAUGAUCAGUCACACUGGAACUGAGACACGGUCCAGACUCCUACGGGAGGCAGCAGUGGGGAAUAUUGGACAAUGGGCGAAAGCCUGAUCCAGCCAUGCCGCGUGUGUGAAGAAGGUCUUCGGAUUGUAAAGCACUUUAAGUUGGGAGGAAGGGUUGUAGAUUAAUACUCUGCAAUUUUGACGUUACCGACAGAAUAAGCACCGGCUAACUCUGUGCCAGCAGCCGCGGUAAUACAGAGGGUGCAAGCGUUAAUCGGAAUUACUGGGCGUAAAGCGCGCGUAGGUGGUUUGUUAAGUUGGAUGUGAAAUCCCCGGGCUCAACCUGGGAACUGCAUCCAAAACUGG
This 564-nucleotide ribosomal RNA is filed under the name Pseudomonas koreensis. RNAcentral's name for it is "bacterial SSU rRNA". It matches the Rfam family "Bacterial small subunit ribosomal RNA", at positions 76 to 636 of the family's 1533-position model. Lineage: Bacteria; Pseudomonadati; Pseudomonadota; Gammaproteobacteria; Pseudomonadales; Pseudomonadaceae. The record is from RNAcentral.